Molecule: ribosomal RNA, 555 nt
Filed under: Triticum aestivum (bread wheat)
Lineage: Eukaryota; Viridiplantae; Streptophyta; Magnoliopsida; Poales; Poaceae
Description: partial small subunit ribosomal RNA
Source: RNAcentral
AUGGCGGAAUGCUUCAAUAGGGUGCUCAAAGGUGCACGUGGAUUACCCGUGACGGCAAUAGUUCAAUACACAUUUGACAAGAUGAAUGCGUACUUUGUAAAGUACUCGAUGGAAACCGAUGCACAAAUAGCGGGUGAGAACCCACGGAAGUACAAGUACAAGUUCCCACCUAAAGUUGAUGAAUGGUUGGUAUUUCAAUCACGGAAGGCGGACUCAGAAGAAGCUAUAUUAUAUGACAACGAAGAGUGGAAGUACGAAGUGAAAGAGCCAGGAGGAACCACAAACGAUGGCCGGCAACAUGGAGGUCGGGCUUUCAAGGUGUCGUUAACACAAUGUGAUUGCACUUGCGGUAGGCCGUUGUUGCUUCAUCUCCCAUGCUCACACUUGUAUACAGCCGGUCGCCUUAGGAAUGUGGACAUCAAUCACCCACGCACCGUGAGGGAGUCCGAGUUCUCAAUCAUGACAGUCAAGAAAACAUGGGCUCCCCGCUUUCACCCGUACUUUGACCAAUCGCAAUGGCCGGAGUAUCAUGGAGUUCAACUACGGCCGGAUCCG